GGUUCUUUAGCUCAGUUGGUUAGAGCGCUCGCUUCACACGCGAGAGGUCAGCAGUUCGAGUCUGCUAAGAACCACCA
Molecule: transfer RNA, 77 nt
Filed under: Paeniglutamicibacter sulfureus
Lineage: Bacteria; Bacillati; Actinomycetota; Actinomycetes; Micrococcales; Micrococcaceae
Also listed under: 14 other names
Description: tRNA-Val
Rfam family: tRNA
About the family: Transfer RNA (tRNA) molecules are approximately 80 nucleotides in length.
Source: RNAcentral